GAUCCUGGCUCAGGAUGAACGCUAGCGGCAGGCCUAACACAUGCAAGUCGAGGGGCAUCACGAGGUAGCAAUACUUUGGUGGCGACCGGCGCACGGGUGCGUAACGCGUAUGUAACAUACCUAUAACAGGGGCAUAACACUGAGAAAUUGGUACUAAUUCCCCAUAAUAUUCGGAGAGGCAUCUCUCCGGGUUGAAAAACUCCGGUGGUUAUAGAUGGACAUGCGUUGUAUUAGCUAGUUGGUG
RNAcentral lists this ribosomal RNA (244 nucleotides) under uncultured bacterium. RNAcentral describes it as "partial 16S ribosomal RNA". It matches the Rfam family "Bacterial small subunit ribosomal RNA", at positions 15 to 254 of the family's 1533-position model. The record is from RNAcentral.